CGGCCUUGACAUACUAAGAACUUUCCAGAGAUGGAUUGGUGCCUUCGGGAACUUAGAUACAGGUGCUGCAUGGCUGUCGUCAGCUCGUGUCGUGAGAUGUUGGGUUAAGUCCCGNAACGAGCGCAACCCUUUUCCUUAUUUGCCAGCGGGUCAUGCCGGGAACUUUAAGGAUACUGCCAGUGACAAACUGGAGGAAGGCGGGGACGACGUCAAGUCAUCAUGGCCCUUACGGCCAGGGCUACACACGUGCUACAAUGGUCGGUACAAAGGGGUUGCUACCUCGCGAGAGGAUGCUAAUCUCAAAAAGCCGAUCGUAGUCCGGAUCGCAGUCUGCAACUCGACUGCGUGAAGUCGGAAUCGCUAGUAAUCGCGGAUCAGAAUGCCGCGGUGAAUACGUUCCCGGGCCUUGUACACACCGCCCGUCACACCAUGGGAGUUUGUUGCACCAGAAGUAGGUAGUCUAACCGCAAGGAGGACGCUUACCACGGUGUGGCCGAUGACUGGGGUGAAGUCGUAACAAGGUAGGCGUAGAUGA
This 535-nucleotide ribosomal RNA is filed under the name uncultured bacterium. Its description in RNAcentral is "bacterial SSU rRNA". It matches the Rfam family "Bacterial small subunit ribosomal RNA", at positions 976 to 1509 of the family's 1533-position model. The record is from RNAcentral.